AUUUCGCAAACACACUCAUACACAUGGCCCGUAACUUGAAGAAAGAGAGGCCUAUAUGGGGCCAGAGGGAGAGGGCAAACAUAUAUAUAUCUAUAUAUAUAUAUAUAUGUGAUUAUACGAUUUUUUCUUUCUGCCCACCAAAAGUUGCUGUCGACGGCGACGUUGCGCUGUUGCUGCGGUGCGAGUGGCUUUUUUAGCCGCCAGUUGCCAAUUGCCGCAUUCGCUAUUCGGCUUUGAAGCCGCUCGGGUUGCCAAAAAGAACAGUUAGCCAGGAAUUCUCCGGAGAAUCGACAAAAGAUUCUCCUGGGAAUCGAACUCGUGCCCACGUGUGACCUACGUUGUCUUACCCAGUUUUUCACUUUUUUAAUAACUUUUCCAUGCUAAAUGUGUGUUUUCUCUGUGUGCCAAAAUAAUAACAAACGUUUUGGGUUGCAGAUAAAAUUAGAGAGCUUUGCAAAAAUAAGCUGAACAUUUUCCGGCAGUGUACUCGUGUGCUUGUGUUUGUGCCCCCGAGUGUCCGUGUGAUUGCCAAUGUUUUUUGUGGCCUCUCAGCUUUAAUUUCUUGGGGAAAAUCAGUACGACUUCUGGGCCCCGAAGGCAGACGGCAGCCGUACCCGAACCCGUACUUUCCAUAGCCCCAACCCAGAAAAAGAACUGGAAAACUGAAGAACUGGAGAAACUGUGGAACCACAAAGGCAACAUGUUGCACAUGCACUCGCCAAAAGCAAUUUGCAUACAAAUGUUGCCAACGCACUUCAAAAACUGCACAAUCACAGGGGCUUUAAAAAGGGGGGGGUGGGGGUGGGGGUUUUGCAGCGGAAGAGGGUAAAAGCCGCUUCAUAAUUUGAUAUUAAACAUGCACGCGUGUCUCCCUCUCUUUUUCUCUCAUGUGUGCAACUUGUAAAUUUGCAAAUUGCUAAAAUGCAUGACAGGAACAAAGGGGGAGGGGCGGGCAGUGGGGGGGACUUUCGGGCAGCUGCGUGAAUUUGCAUUUACAUCAAGGAACCGCAGGACAGGAAAAGGACCGCAAAAAGUUACCCAAAUUCAGCCUCAGAACAAAAAACUGAAUAAAAAUGAGAAGUCUGCUCAAUUGACUUUCAAUUGCAAAACAAACACAAUGCACUUGGGGAAAAUUUGAGAGACAAACAUUUAUUUUGUUCAAAAACCUUAUUCUUGCAUGCUAUAAAAUUUAAACAUUUAGUGAACCCAGAGAAAAACCCCAUAGUAAAAUUAAAUGUUAAAAUAUUUGUUUGUCGAAAUAUGAACUUUCUCAAAAUAAACUAAG
This is a long non-coding RNA of Drosophila gunungcola (fruit fly), 1285 nucleotides long. RefSeq lists it as uncharacterized. The transcript is spliced from 3 exons. NCBI's taxonomy places the organism in Eukaryota, Metazoa, Arthropoda, Insecta, Diptera, Drosophilidae. The record is from RefSeq and is a predicted model, not a curated record.